Molecule: ribosomal RNA, 120 nt
Filed under: uncultured archaeon
Lineage: Archaea
Description: partial 16S ribosomal RNA
Source: RNAcentral
GGGUACCUUGUUACGACUUCUCCCCCGUUGCUGACCCCAGGUUCGAUAACGCCAAUUAGGCGCCACCUCGCCAAGAACCAGCUUCGGUGAAGCGACGGGCGGUGUGUGCAAGGAGCAGGG